This 69-nucleotide small nucleolar RNA is filed under the name Sinocyclocheilus rhinocerous. RNAcentral's name for it is "Small nucleolar RNA SNORD75 (ENSSRHG00000045826.1)". It matches the Rfam family "Small nucleolar RNA SNORD75". From Rfam's summary of the family: U75 (SNORD75) belongs to the C/D class of snoRNAs which contain the C (UGAUGA) and D (CUGA) box motifs. Most of the members of the box C/D family function in directing site-specific 2'-O-methylation of substrate RNAs. This family includes the mouse orthologue Z19. Lineage: Eukaryota; Metazoa; Chordata; Actinopteri; Cypriniformes; Cyprinidae. The record is from Rfam by way of RNAcentral.
UGCUUAUGAUGAAUAAAAAAAAGAAAAGAGUAGUGGACAGGAGUGAUUUCUGAGAACUUUUCUGAGGCA